CCCUUAGAUGUUCGGGGCCGCACGCGCGCUACACUGAAGGACUCAGCGUGUCUCUCCCCCUAUCCCGAAAGGGAUGGGCAACCCGUUGAACCUCCUUCGUGCUAGGGAUUGGGGUUUGCAAUUAUCCCCCAUGAACGAGGAAUUCCCAGUAAGCGCGAGUCAUCAGCUCGCGUUGAUUACGUCCCUGCCCUUUGUACACACCGCCCGUCGCUACUACCGAUUGGAUGGUUUAGUGAGACCCUCGGAUCGGUCCCGACUCGGGGUGGGCUUCUGCCCCGGUCGUGGUUUCGCCGAGAAGACGGUCAAACUUGACUAUCUAGAGGAAGUAAAAGCCGUAACA
Molecule: ribosomal RNA, 340 nt
Filed under: uncultured eukaryote
Lineage: Eukaryota
Description: partial 18S ribosomal RNA
Rfam family: Eukaryotic small subunit ribosomal RNA
Source: RNAcentral